CGUUGAAACACCGUUUCCCGUACAAUCACCGAAGUUAAGCAACGUGGAGCUUCGUCAGUACCUCGAUGGGUUAGCGCUUGCGAAUUCCGGAUCCUGUA
Acanthosepion pharaonis is the source of this 98-nucleotide non-coding RNA. Lineage: Eukaryota; Metazoa; Mollusca; Cephalopoda; Sepiida; Sepiidae. The record is from the annotation of a GenBank genome assembly.